UACGGAGGAUGCGAGCGUUAUCCGGAUUUAUUGGGUUUAAAGGGUGCGUAGGUGGAAGAUUAAGUCCGCGGUGAAAGUUUGUCGCUCAACGAUAAGACUGCCGUUGAAACUGGUUUUCUUGAGUAGGGUUGAAGCAGGCGGAAUGCGUGGUGUAGCGGUGAAAUGCAUAGAUAUCACGCAGAACUCCGAUAGCGAAGGCAGCUUGCUAAUCCCCGACUGACACCGAAGCACGAAAGCGUGGGUAUCAAACAGGAUUAGAUACCCUGGUAGUCCACGCGGUAAACGAUGAUAACUAAGAGUUAGCGAUAGACAGUUAGCUCUACAGCGAAAGCGUUAAGUUAUCCACCUGGGGAGUACGCCGGCAACGGUGAAACUCAAAGGAAUUGACGGGGGCCCGCACAAGCGGAGGAACAUGUGGUUUAAUUCGAUGAUACGCGAGGAACCUUACCCGGGUUUGAACGCAGGAGGGAUGGGUGUGAAAGCGUCCAGUCAGCAAUGACUUCCUGCGAGGUGCUGCAUGGUUGUCGUCAGCUCGUGCCGUGAGGUGUCGGCUUAAGUGCCAUAACGAGCGCAACCCUUACCGUCCGUUGCCAUCAGGUAAAGCUGGGGACUCAGACGGGACUGCCGGCGUAAGCUGCGAGGAAGGUGUGGAUGACGUCAAAUCAGCACGGCCCUUACAUCCGGGGCGACACACGUGUUACAAUGGUGGGGACAGCGGGUCGCGAUCUGGUGACAGAGAGCCAAUCCACAAACCCCAUCUCAGUUCGGAUCGAAGUCUGCAACCCGACUUCGUGAAGCUGGAUUCGCUAGUAAUCGCGCAUCAGCCAUGGCGCGGUGAAUACGUUCCCGGGCCUU
Molecule: ribosomal RNA, 855 nt
Filed under: uncultured bacterium Of26
Lineage: Bacteria; Pseudomonadati; Bacteroidota; Bacteroidia; Bacteroidales; Bacteroidaceae
Description: SSU rRNA
Rfam family: Bacterial small subunit ribosomal RNA
Source: RNAcentral